RNAcentral lists this transfer RNA (84 nucleotides) under Candidatus Pacearchaeota archaeon CG1_02_32_21. RNAcentral describes it as "tRNA-Leu". It matches the Rfam family "tRNA". Rfam says of the family: Transfer RNA (tRNA) molecules are approximately 80 nucleotides in length. Their secondary structure includes four short double-helical elements and three loops (D, anti-codon, and T loops). RNAcentral also lists the same sequence under 2 other names. Lineage: Archaea; Nanobdellati. The record is from RNAcentral.
GCGAGGGUAGCGAAGUGGUCAAACGCGCGAGACUCAAAAUCUCGUCUCUUAGUGAGUUCACAGGUUCGAAUCCUGUCUCUCGCA